This 21-nucleotide non-coding RNA is filed under the name Arabidopsis thaliana (thale cress). Lineage: Eukaryota; Viridiplantae; Streptophyta; Magnoliopsida; Brassicales; Brassicaceae. The record is from RNAcentral.
UAAAGAGGGUGCUGCAAAGUC